RNAcentral lists this ribosomal RNA (253 nucleotides) under uncultured bacterium. RNAcentral describes it as "partial 16S ribosomal RNA". It matches the Rfam family "Bacterial small subunit ribosomal RNA", at positions 524 to 776 of the family's 1533-position model. The record is from RNAcentral.
UACAGAGGUCUCAAGCGUUGUUCGGAUUCAUUGGGCGUAAAGGGUGCGUAGGCGGCGCGGUAAGUCGGGUGUGAAAUCUCGGGGCUUAACUCCGAAACUGCAUUCGAUACUGCCGUGCUUGAGGACUGGAGAGGAGACUGGAAUUCACAGUGGAGCAGUGAAAUGCGUAGAUAUUGUGAGGAACACUAGUGGCGAAGGCGAAUCUCUGGACAGUUCCUGACGCUGAGGCACGAAGGCCAGGGGAGCAAACGGG